This 191-nucleotide small RNA is filed under the name Gopherus agassizii (Agassiz's desert tortoise). RNAcentral's name for it is "TUC338 (ENSGAGG00000004646.1)". The record is from RNAcentral. Lineage: Eukaryota; Metazoa; Chordata; Testudines; Testudinidae.
CUGACAGCUCUGGAGAAUGGGUCCUUCAUUCAUCCCCAGAGGAGGUACAGCAUGGGCAGCAGCUGGGCAAGCUUCCCAACACUGCUUGGCUGGAGUGCCAAGACCCUGACCUGAAAGGGUCCAUGUACCGCAGCUGCUUUAGGAGUGAGAGAAGAGUUUAAUCUCUGUAGCCCAGUCAGUCCAUGGCCUCU